UGUUUGAAUGUCCUUUCCCUCACAUGGGCCAGUAUAAAACAAUAUGUCCAAUUUGGGAAUAGUAAACAAAAAAGUUGCUAUUUUGUUCUCCUUCCAACCUAAUACUUCCGAAUAACAAAAAAUCUUAUUUAUAUGGGCUUUUUGGUCACAAACACUUCUAUAUUUUUCUAUUUAUUCCUUAUGUUAACCAAAUGAGCAGAGGGAAGGAUAUGUAUCUGUCUUUCCUUUCGCCUUCUUUCUGUCUUACCAUUUCCUUUGUAUCUAAUUCCUCCGCAACUAACCUUCAGAUCAAGAAAGAAUGGCGGCAAUUUACUUUCUAGACUCAGAUACUCUAGCUGCUGAUACUCCUGGCCUUUUAGUAAAAGUGUAAUUUCAAGGAUGGUUAAUGUGAAUGUGAUUUUUUAAUGCUGGCUAUUUUAUUAAGGGAGGAAGAUUUACAAUUAUGGAAAUAAUGUUUUUAGGAUGUAGAACAUAAGAAGAAUGGUUGAGUUGAUGUCAUUAAGCAUCUGCCAAGAUGAGAAAGACGAAGACAAUAAGGAAGAGAAUGAUGCAUGAAGAGAAAGAAGGGAGAGAGAGACUUGGGAGGCAUGGAUGCCCACGAAUGCAAAUCAACAAUGAAUUUCUCUUUUGUCAAAGUGUAGGAGAAUAACUCAUAUGCUGUCAUUUUACAAAUACUCCUGGGAAUUUCUUUGUUACGUAACUGUUAGCACUUCCAAUUAGGCAAUGAGACUCAACUGUGAAGCACUUGUAGAAAAACCUGAAGGACUUAAAGAUCAGAAAGAGUGCUUAUCUAUAAUGACAUACCAAGCCAAGAUAUAUAAUGACUUAAAUUGGCUGAAUUAAGGCUUAUGAGAAAAGUAGUAGCUAAAGGUCUUCUUCAUUAGCUGCACUGAAACAAAGAGCAAUCUUGUUGCAGUAAGAAAGGAUGAAUAUGCUAGAUACUGCUACAAUGAGAGAAAAGCCGAAAACAUGGAUCAAGAUUUUGAAGUUUCAUGAUACAGAAAAUCAAAAGGAGACUUCUGUAUCUGAUUUGAAGUAUAUGUGAAGUAUCAUUAGCUUAUGUUUUUUAUCCAUGAAAUUAAACUCCCAAAUGCUUCCCUCUACCAUCAGGUUUAGACAGUAAUGUGCUAAUCUGGAAUACUAGGGUCUGUAAGAAACAUUGCCGGUCAUGCAGACUUUGCACAACUCAGAAACUCGGUUGCCAAUGGAAUAACCUGUGUGAUUUUAAAGGACCUUAACUUUCUCAUCUUCAUGCAGUUUUAGAUAUCAUUUGUUGGACUUACUGCCAACCGCUUCUUGGUAGUGCAUUUAUAAAUGGGAUUUCUGUACUAUUCUUAAUUCUGUAAUUCAUUGGCUUGUGGUAUGUUUCCACUUUUGCUUCAUAUAACUCAUUUAUGUUUAUGUUCAUCAACAAUGGGUUGUGUUCUGCUAUGCUGGUCGAUGAUAUAAAUUUCUAUUUUGCAAUUAUGUCC
RNAcentral lists this long non-coding RNA (1472 nucleotides) under Ricinus communis (castor bean). RNAcentral's name for it is "long non-coding RNA (RCOM_LNC003481)". Lineage: Eukaryota; Viridiplantae; Streptophyta; Magnoliopsida; Malpighiales; Euphorbiaceae. The record is from RNAcentral.